UACGUAGGGUGCAGGCGUUAAUCGGAAUUACUGGGCGUAAAGCGUGCGCAGGCGGUCUUUUAAGUCAGAUGUGAAAUCCCCGGGCUUAACCUGGGAACUGCGUUUGAAACUGGAAGGCUUGAGUGUGGCAGAGGGGGGUGGAAUUCCACGUGUAGCAGUGAAAUGCGUAGAGAUGUGGAGGAACACCGAUGGCGAAGGCAGCCCCCUGGGCUAACACUGACGCUCAGGCACGAAAGCGUGGGGAGCAAACAGG
This 253-nucleotide ribosomal RNA is filed under the name uncultured bacterium. RNAcentral's name for it is "partial 16S ribosomal RNA". It matches the Rfam family "Bacterial small subunit ribosomal RNA", at positions 524 to 776 of the family's 1533-position model. The record is from RNAcentral.